This 525-nucleotide ribosomal RNA is filed under the name uncultured bacterium. RNAcentral's name for it is "partial 16S ribosomal RNA". It matches the Rfam family "Bacterial small subunit ribosomal RNA", at positions 355 to 891 of the family's 1533-position model. The record is from RNAcentral.
UGGGGAAUAUUGCACAAUGGGCGCAAGCCUGAUGCAGCAACGCCGCGUGAGGGACGACGGCCUUCGGGUUGUAAACCUCUUUUAGUAGGGAAGAAGCGAAAGUGACGGUACCUGCAGAAAAAGCACCGGCUAACUACGUGCCAGCAGCCGCGGUAAUACGUAGGGUGCGAGCGUUGUCCGGAAUUAUUGGGCGUAAAGAGCUCGUAGGCGGUCUGUCGCGUCUGCUGUGAAAACCCGAGGCUCAACCUCGGGCCUGCAGUGGGUACGGGCAGACUAGAGUGCGGUAGGGGAGAAUGGAAUUCCUGGUGUAGCGGUGGAAUGCGCAGAUAUCAGGAGGAACACCGAUGGCGAAGGCAGUUCUCUGGGCCGUAACUGACGCUGAGGAGCGAAAGCGUGGGGAGCGAACAGGAUUAGAUACCCUGGUAGUCCACGCCGUAAACGUUGGGCGCUAGAUGUGGGGACCAUUCCACGGUUUCCGUGUCGCAGCUAACGCAUUAAGCGCCCGCCUGGGGAGUACGGCCGCAA